AACGAACGCUGGCGGCAUGCCUAACACAUGCAAGUCGAACGAGAUCUUCGGGUCUAGUGGCGCACGGGUGCGUAACGCGUGGGAAUCUGCCCUUUGGUUCGGAAUAACAGUUGGAAACGACUGCUAAUACCGGAUGAUGACGAAAGUCCAAAGAUUUAUCGCCAGAGGAUGAGCCCGCGUAGGAUUAGCUAGUUGGUGUGGUAAAGGCGCACCAAGGCGACGAUCCCUAGCUGGUCUGAGAGGAUGAUCAGCCACACUGGGACUGAGACACGGCCCAGACUCCUACGGGAGGCGGCAGUGGGGAAUAUUGGACAAUGGGCGAAAGCCUGAUCCAGCAAUGCCGCGUGAGUGAUGAAGGCCUUAGGGUUGUAAAGCUCUUUUACCCGGGAUGAUAAUGACAGUACCGGGAGAAUAAGCUCCGGCUAACUCCGUGCCAGCAGCCGCAGUAA
RNAcentral lists this ribosomal RNA (449 nucleotides) under uncultured bacterium. RNAcentral's name for it is "partial 16S ribosomal RNA". It matches the Rfam family "Bacterial small subunit ribosomal RNA", at positions 29 to 523 of the family's 1533-position model. The record is from RNAcentral.